UAACGAAUAUUGGACAAUGGGCGCAAGCCUGAUCCAGCGACGCCGCGUGCAGGAUGAAGUCCUUCGGGAUGUAAACUGCUGUCAGGGAUCACCAAGCAAUACCGGCCAAUACCCGGUUGCGUUGAGGACUCCCAGAGGAAGCCACGGCUAACUUCGUGCCAGCAGCCGCGGUAAGACGAAGGUGGCGAGCGUUGUUCGGAAUCACUGGGCUUAAAGAGCACGUAGGCGGUCUGUCAAGCGUCUUGUGAAAGCCCUCGGCUCAACCGGGGAAUUGCUUGGCGAACUGGCAGACUUGAGGCAGGUAGGGGCAGUUGGAACUCUUGGUGGAGCGGUGGAAUGCGUAGAUAUCAAGAGGAACGCCAGAGGCGAAGGCGAACUGCUGGGCCUGUCCUGACGCUGAGGUGCGAAAGCCAGGGGAGCGAACG
This 425-nucleotide ribosomal RNA is filed under the name uncultured bacterium. RNAcentral's name for it is "bacterial SSU rRNA". It matches the Rfam family "Bacterial small subunit ribosomal RNA", at positions 355 to 774 of the family's 1533-position model. The record is from RNAcentral.